AAGUUUCUCCCCUGUUAAGGGGAACUACGUUGCCCUGAUCCUCAUACCAGAUGAGGUACGUAGGCAGGAGAUCGUGCGAGAUCUCUCCGGGCACCCUUUUUCUUUUUGUGUGUGUUUGCUUGACAGUUAUUAGGCUUGAGUUCCAGACUCCCUUUUAGCUUGUCUUUUUGAUAACCUCUUGUGUGUGGGUGUGGAGUCUGAUGUAAGUCCAGCGAUUGGCAUUCGGUUUCCUUGUU
This 236-nucleotide long non-coding RNA is filed under the name Lathyrus oleraceus (garden pea). RNAcentral describes it as "Pisum sativum (pea) long non-coding RNA (PSAT_LNC005434)". The record is from RNAcentral. Lineage: Eukaryota; Viridiplantae; Streptophyta; Magnoliopsida; Fabales; Fabaceae.